Raphanus sativus (radish) is the source of this 1609-nucleotide long non-coding RNA. RefSeq lists it as uncharacterized. The transcript is spliced from 5 exons. The record is from RefSeq and is a predicted model, not a curated record. NCBI's taxonomy places the organism in Eukaryota, Viridiplantae, Streptophyta, Magnoliopsida, Brassicales, Brassicaceae.
AGUAUUAAAAGGGGAAUAUAGUCCUCAGAUAGAGUGUCCACGUCAGUCAAGAAAAUCAACCAAUAGGAAACCUGUUUUUAGCCACGUCACACCGGGUUGGGCUUCUCAGUUUUCUUGAUCUGUAAAAUGUCUGUUUUCUUUUUGGCCCAUAGGCCCAGUCGGAAAGAAACGGUGAAUCCCUUCGAAAAAUCUGUUUAGUCUUCAAUCGUCGAUAUAUCCUCCGACUCUUCCACUUCAUGUUCUCCACUGUAUGAUUUUUCUACGUUUCAUUCUCAAUUAAUGACAAUGUUGAAGUUAUUCUUCAAUGUUUCGUUCCACCACCCCUUGAUGCUUCUCCUAUAUAAAACUCUUUCUCUGAACCUAAAUUCAUCCUGAAUCAAAAAAAAAACUAUUCUGCAGAAAUUACUUCUAGGCCAUGAAAUUCACCACGCAGUCUCAUCUUACCACCAACAAAUCUCCUGUCGUCAUGUAUUUCAAAGACAUCUCAUCAGGACAAUCUGAAUCAGAGCUCCGGUUAGUCCGUUUCUGGGAGGCAAGAAACAUUGCUAAAGGUGGGACCUUUAUUGGGUUGGAACUCCUCCUCAUUGAUGAACAGAAGACGGUGAUGCAAGGUUUCGUCUCCUCUCCAACAUACCUGCCUCAUCUCAAAGCAUGGACAACUUUGAGGCUUCAUAAUUGACGCUGCUCAAAGCAAGGAUAUUUAUCGAGUUGCUGAUCAGAGUUUAACAGUUUCUUUCUCGCACACUCUGUUCUCUCCAGCCUUGAUGACAUCUACCUCUGUUUUGCUCCAGACAGGUUCAGGUUCCAUCCAAUUUCCAAGCUAACUGUGGUCUCAGGGGUGACCUCUACGGAAGCUCUUUUCGUCUGCAUGGCCAUUAGUCACAUUUGAUGAUGUUUAGCAUGACACUUCGUGGUAUUGUAUUGCCUGCAGCGGUUGUAAAAGUAAGGCCACCAGAGGCCUUUCUUCGUUGAUGUGCGCUAAGUGUGUCAACACUAACGUUGCUGGUGUAGAAAAAAUUUGGUAUUUGUGUUCUUUUCUUUGCAGGUACCUUGCGAAGAUCUAUGUCUACAACAAUAAUGAACAGGCUGUUUUCGUCUUACUUAGUGAUGCAGGACAUGAGUUGACAGGGAAGGGUGCUGCAGAAUUGGUUGACAACUACUCUGAGGCUAAUCAAGAACUUGGUGCUGGUCAUGAGAUUACUGUCCCCAGGCUUUAAUCCACACAAUUGGAAAAACACAUAAUUUCAGGAUCAAGGUGUCUGACUACAACAUCACAGGCAAGAUCCAAGUUAUAACUGUUACUAAGAUUGUCUCACCAGAAGUUCUGCCAUCUGUACCAACUCCACUUGAAUGUUGAAUCCCACUUGAUGCAGGGGAUGAAGUUGAUGGGUGCCUUCUGCAAGUGUAGUUUGUGCAUCUUCUAAGAGCUGUGGAUCCAUUGCUGAUUAGUAAAAUGAAGUUAUAUAUUGUGUAAUGUAGCUUUAGCAGAAAGAAAUGGGAAUAUAUUUGUAUGUCGUAGCUAGCAUAGGAUUCAAGUGAGAUAAGUAAUUUUAUUGUGUUUGAUCAUUUGUAGUAGCUUUUUUCUAUGACGAGUAAUUUUUUGUGCUCA